GGAAUUUAGUGAUUACAUAUUGGAACGACAGGGAGAAGAUUAGCAUGGCCCCUGCACAAGGAUGACAAUUGACAUGCACAAAUCGAGAAAUGGUCCAAAUCUUC
Nicotiana sylvestris (wood tobacco) is the source of this 104-nucleotide non-coding RNA. The record is from Rfam. NCBI's taxonomy places the organism in Eukaryota, Viridiplantae, Streptophyta, Magnoliopsida, Solanales, Solanaceae.